This 591-nucleotide long non-coding RNA is filed under the name Sus scrofa (pig). RNAcentral describes it as "lncRNA (ENSSSCG00045019444.1)". Lineage: Eukaryota; Metazoa; Chordata; Mammalia; Artiodactyla; Suidae. The record is from RNAcentral.
AUGGACAUGCAGGUUUUAAGAAUCAGGCUGGUGUGGCAGUUGGCUUCUGGAGAGCUGGGCAUGAUUAUAUUCAUGACUGUGGAGUGUCAGUGCAGUGGUAUUUGGGGGGGCAGACUGAGCCUGUCCCUAUGCUCCUUCUCUCCAGAGAUCUUCAUAUUGUCUUCCUCCCGUGCUGGACACGUGUGCCAAGGAACCUACCUAAAUCCAGAUCUAUGUCCUCCUCCUCUCUGCUCCACCUCAGCCUCUUCCUCCCUGCUGGACACCUGUGCCAAGGAACCUACUAAAUCCAGUGAUCUCUGCAUCCUCCUCCUCCCUGUUGGACACCUGUGCCAAGGAACCUACCUAAAUCCAGAGUCCUCUGCAUCCUCCUCCUCCUUUCUCACCCCGAGCAUCUUCCUUGUCUGCUGGACACCUGUGCCAAGGAACCUACCUCAAUCCAGAAAAAUUAAGAGCCUUACGGAGGGGGCAAGCGUUUUCCCUCUCAAAGCCUCCCGCAGCCCUCACUGCUCCCUGUCAGCACUGCUUGAAGUCAAUCACCAGGAAAAACUCCAACUCAGGUUCUGGUGUGAUGUCUUGAAGGCCAUGACCUAG